Molecule: long non-coding RNA, 746 nt
Organism: Hermetia illucens (black soldier fly)
Lineage: Eukaryota; Metazoa; Arthropoda; Insecta; Diptera; Stratiomyidae
Exons: 4
Source: RefSeq, a predicted model, not a curated record
UUCUUCUGUUCAGUCUGAACAAUUAAUUUGAAACAAUUAAAAAUUGUGAAAUAUGAUAAAAACGUGAACUAAUUAAUUUCUUUGGAAGUGAAAAGUGCUGUUGAAGCAAAUGUGUGAACGGAGAACGGCUCUUCACCUUGUACUGUAAGGAGAGAUGUAUCUAAUUUUCUUCAAGCGUCUUUUUAAGAUGAGAUGGGAUGAUUCGCAAAAAAAUCAUUGGACCAAUACCCUGACGUAAAACUUACAUGGCACUCAUCUUCGUCCCAUCGAAACCUGCAGUUAUUCCGGCCGUUGCAUUGCAGUUCUGCUGAUAUACACGUUGCAUCCUCGCAAUCGUACUCGUCCUCCUCGCAUGCUGCCAAAAAACAUCGAACAUUUUUACGGAUUCCAAUAAAGGAGCAAACAAUGAAACAUCACCCUUAUCCCUAAACGCCGUAUACAGAAUGGUGAAGGACGAAUUAUAGGCAACAUACUCGGCAUAGUAUCGCACAUGCAGAACAUUCGUUAAAGAAUUUAUGGAGUCUGCAGCGGAGCCACAAAAAUUCCUCAACCUGGACGAAACAUGAAAGAAAUAAAGAGAACAAGCAAAAUUAAAAUUUGUGUCGUAAUUUUGGAUUGAGAUAAAAUAUUUUGUGAUUGCUUUAAGGGCUAACACUUUACCAAGUACGAGUACUUCAACCCCACUUACUUGGAGUGCUCGUCCGUUUUAUCGGGAAAUAUGUCUACGAAAUUUACAUCACAUUCAU